CCACUGAGGGGUGUGAGCAGAAAGUAAGAGAUGAGGAGGCUAUUUAAGGGCAGCUGGGGGACUAAGUAUUCAUACUGUUGACACAACACUGCUGUUCCUUCUGAAGGCACCAUGAAGCUCAGCAUCACCAUCGCCCUCUGUGCUCUACUUUACUUCGCUGGUCCUGCUUUCGCCGUAUUACCACUGAACCCGGGAUCACCGGGACCAGUGGCGGCAGCGGAGUCAUGGCUGCCGGGAAGAGAAGUCAACAUGUCCACUAAUUUUGAUUUUUUUGGGCUGAAGUACAAAGCUGCACCGCUCACUGCAGUCUACAGUCGGUCAGGAAGACUCCAGAGUCAGUUUGACACAAUAAAGAAUUUCAACAUCA
This is a long non-coding RNA of Alosa sapidissima (American shad), 367 nucleotides long. RefSeq lists it as uncharacterized. The transcript is spliced from 2 exons. Lineage: Eukaryota; Metazoa; Chordata; Actinopteri; Clupeiformes; Clupeidae. The record is from RefSeq and is a predicted model, not a curated record.